AAAGCGUGCGCAGGCGGUUAUAUAAGACAGAUGUGAAAUCCCCGGGCUCAACCUGGGACCUGCAUUUGUGACUGUAUAGCUAGAGUACGGUAGAGGGGGAUGGAAUUCCGCGUGUAGCAGUGAAAUGCGUAGAUAUGCGGAGGAACACCGAUGGCGAAGGCAAUCCCCUGGACCUGUACUGACGCUCAUGCACGAAAGCGUGGGGAGCAAACAGGAUUAGAUACCCUUGU
RNAcentral lists this ribosomal RNA (230 nucleotides) under uncultured bacterium. Its description in RNAcentral is "partial 16S ribosomal RNA". It matches the Rfam family "Bacterial small subunit ribosomal RNA", at positions 562 to 791 of the family's 1533-position model. The record is from RNAcentral.